GAUGAACGCUGGCGGCGUGCUUAACACAUGCAAGUCGAACGGAAAGGCCCAAGCUUGCUUGGGUACUCGAGUGGCGAACGGGUGAGUAACACGUGGGUGAUCUGCCCUGCACUUCGGGAUAAGCCUGGGAAACUGGGUCUAAUACCGGAUAGGACCACUUCUUGGAUGUUGUGGUGGAAAGUUUUUUCGGUGUGGGAUGAGCUCGCGGCCUAUCAGCUUGUUGGUGGGGUAAUGGCCUACCAAGGCGUCGACGGGUAGCCGGCCUGAGAGGGUGUACGGCGACAUUGGGACGGAGAUAAGGCCCAGCAUCGUCGGGGAGGCAGCAGUGGGGAGGGUGGCAGACUGGGUGCAGGCGUUAUGCACGAACGCCGCGUGGGGGAUGAGGGCCUGCGGGUUGUAAACAGAUUUCGACUGUGAAGAAGCGUGCGUGACGGUAAUGGGUAAAGAAGCACCGGCUAACUACGUG
RNAcentral lists this ribosomal RNA (466 nucleotides) under uncultured bacterium. RNAcentral describes it as "partial 16S ribosomal RNA". It matches the Rfam family "Bacterial small subunit ribosomal RNA", at positions 28 to 507 of the family's 1533-position model. The record is from RNAcentral.